UCUUCCGGGCUCUUGAGGCAAAGGCAAUGGACUUUGGGAAAUAUAAGGGGAGCGAAAAGACAUUCUGAUAAUCCAUCACUUAGGGAACAAAGGGGACAGCACCCUCUGAGUUUGUGAAAGUUGGAUCUUUUAGCCUGGAGGGCUAGAGAUGCUGGUAUCCUGAUACCAAGAAGAGAGGACGUCACAGAAUGGAGUGUAUGUACAGUCUGAAUACGGUGCCAAGGAAGCAACUGAGACCCCACCUCCACACACAGGAGGAGGUCAUCCCCAAGCAGUAACCCCACAAGGAGGAGAGAGCUUCAGAAUUGAAUCCAGAAUGGAGGAAAGAAAUGCACUGUCACAUCAGAUCUAGAGGCAUCGA
Long non-coding RNA from Trachemys scripta elegans, 361 nucleotides. RefSeq lists it as uncharacterized. The record is from RefSeq and is a predicted model, not a curated record. Lineage: Eukaryota; Metazoa; Chordata; Testudines; Emydidae. The transcript has 3 exons.